GCUAUACAUGCAAGUCGAACGAACUCUGGUAUUGAUUGGUGCUUGCAUCAUGAUUUACAUUUGAGUGAGUGGCGAACUGGUGAGUAACACGUGGGAAACCUGCCCAGAAGCGGGGGAUAACACCUGGAAACAGAUGCUAAUACCGCAUAACAACUUGGACCGCAUGGUCCGAGCUUGAAAGAUGGCUUCGGCUAUCACUUUUGGAUGGUCCCGCGGCGUAUUAGCUAGAUGGUGGGGUAACGGCUCACCAUGGCAAUGAUACGUAGCCGACCUGAGAGGGUAAUCGGCCACAUUGGGACUGAGACACGGCCCAAACUCCUACGGGAGGCAGCAGUAGGGAAUCUUCCACAAUGGACGAAAGUCUGAUGGAGCAACGCCGCGUGAGUGAAGAAGGGUUUCGGCUCGUAAAACUCUGUUGUUAAAGAAGAACAUAUCUGAGAGUAACUGUUCAGGUAUUGACGGUAUUUAACCAGAAAGCCACGGCUAACUACGUGCCAGCAGCCGCGGUAAUACGUAGGUGGCAAGCGUUGUCCGGAUUUAUUGGGCGUAAAGCGAGCGCAGGCGGUUUUUUAAGUCUGAUGUGAAAGCCUUCGGCUCAACCGAAGAAGUGCAUCGGAAACUGGGAAACUUGAGUGCAGAAGAGGACAGUGGAACUCCAUGUGUAGCGGUGAAAUGCGUAGAUAUAUGGAAGAACACCAGUGGCGAAGGCGGCUGUCUGGUCUGUAACUGACGCUGAGGCUCGAAAGUAUGGGUAGCAAACAGGAUUAGAUACCCUGGUAGUCCAUACCGUAAACGAUGAAUGCUAAGUGUUGGAGGGUUUCCGCCCUUCAGUGCUGCAGCUAACGCAUUAAGCAUUCCGCCUGGGGAGUACGGCCGCAAGGCUGAAACUCAAAGGAAUUGACGGGGGCCCGCACAAGCGGUGGAGCAUGUGGUUUAAUUCGAAGCUACGCGAAGAACCUUACCAGGUCUUGACAUACUAUGCAAAUCUAAGAGAUUAGACGUUCCCUUCGGGGACAUGGAUACAGGUGGUGCAUGGUUGUCGUCAGCUCGUGUCGUGAGAUGUUGGGUUAAGUCCCGCAACGAGCGCAACCCUUAUUAUCAGUUGCCAGCAUUAAGUUGGGCACUCUGGUGAGACUGCCGGUGACAAACCGGAGGAAGGUGGGGAUGACGUCAAAUCAUCAUGCCCCUUAUGACCUGGGCUACACACGUGCUACAAUGGAUGGUACAACGAGUUGCGAACUCGCGAGAGUAAGCUAAUCUCUUAAAGCCAUUCUCAGUUCGGAUUGUAGGCUGCAACUCGCCUACAUGAAGUCGGAAUCGCUAGUAAUCGCGGAUCAGCAUGCCGCGGUGAAUACGUUCCCGGGCCUUGUACACACCGCCCGUCACACCAUGAGAGUUUGUAACACCCAAAGUCGGUGGGGUAACCUUUUAGGAACCAGCCGCCUAAG
Molecule: ribosomal RNA, 1448 nt
Filed under: Lactiplantibacillus plantarum
Lineage: Bacteria; Bacillati; Bacillota; Bacilli; Lactobacillales; Lactobacillaceae
Description: bacterial SSU rRNA
Rfam family: Bacterial small subunit ribosomal RNA
Source: RNAcentral